CGGACUUAGUGGCGGACGGGUGAGUAACGCGUGGGUAACCUGCCCUGUACAGGGGGACAACAGCCGGAAACGGCUGCUAAUACCGCAUAAGCCUGCGGGGCCGCAUGGCCCGGCAGGAAAAGCUGCGGCGGUACAGGAUGGGCCCGCGUCUGAUUAGCCAGUUGGCGGGGUAACGGCCCACCAAAGCAACGAUCAGUAGCCGGCUUGAGAGAGCGAACGGCCACAUUGGGACUGAGACACGGCCCAAACUCCUACGGGAGGCAGCAG
RNAcentral lists this ribosomal RNA (267 nucleotides) under uncultured bacterium. RNAcentral describes it as "partial 16S ribosomal RNA". It matches the Rfam family "Bacterial small subunit ribosomal RNA", at positions 87 to 354 of the family's 1533-position model. The record is from RNAcentral.